GAUUCCGUUGCAUGUAACACAAUUUUUGAUAAUAAAUUAAAUUUUAGAAUACUGAUAUGUAGUUUUAUGAAAAAUAGAAGAUUUUUGGUAGACAGCAACAAUAUAAUGAUGAACACAAUUUUAAUAUCGCUCAAAUAUUAACAAAUAUGUCUUGACAGAUAUGACAAAGAGUGACAGAACACAAAAUUACAUUUAAAUAUGCGCAGAAGAAUGCACAAUAGGUCAAAACAUUAAUAACAUCAAGAAGUUGAAACUUGACCUACUUCUAAUGUAAUUUAAAAUCAAUUCAUGAGAUGUGCGAAAGAAAUAUUUCACUUUGUUAGUAAAAUAUUAAUGGUGAUGUUGGAAAUCGAUUCCGGUAGCGAAUUGACCGAAAAGUACUUAUAUGAUGAACUUCACCCGACGAACAGUUUGCAUCGACCCAAGUUCGAAAAACCAAAAGGACCUCCCAACAGGGGACCAAGGCGUAUCACAAAACAUCAGUGAAAUACAAACAAGUAUUAUGCUAACGCUUCAGUUUGGUUUUUUCAGAAACGUUUUGCUCAAUGAUUUCGAUGGUGCAAAUCAAUAACAGACCCCACAAUGCUGAAGACAAUAUUUAUAGUUGUAUGAAAUGUUGGAAAAGGCCAAAUUCAGUUGAAUAAAAUUCCUGUCUUUUGUCAAUUU
Leptinotarsa decemlineata (Colorado potato beetle) is the source of this 666-nucleotide long non-coding RNA. The record is from RefSeq and is a predicted model, not a curated record. NCBI's taxonomy places the organism in Eukaryota, Metazoa, Arthropoda, Insecta, Coleoptera, Chrysomelidae.